ACUCAACAGAGUUGUGCAGAGGUCUCUGCUGGGAGAUACACAGAAGGGAAGUAGGUGAAUUCUAUCCAAAAGAGGAUUUGUUCAGGUACCAAAAUUAGUUGUACACCUUCCUUGAGCCUCUCUUGUGGUCGAUAGGCCCAGUGCAACAGGCAGCAGGCUGCUCACUGCAUCAAGCAGGGCCCUGCACACAGCCUUGUCUGUCCCAUCGCACCCUCCCAGCACCCACUGCUCUCCUAGAGAAGUUAUGUUCCCAACGCAGGAUGCAGUGCUGUUGGGGUCAGCAAAAUGUCAUUGCAUGAGUAAGAAUUCAUUUCUCAGCAGCAGCUUUCUGCUUUAGGUGUAUAAACCUGAAUAGAUCCCUACCAUUGUGCUGCUGAUUCAGGAAGCAGGGCUGGGAUUAAAUUAGGCAGUCCUAUAAUUGUACUUCCUGUAGGCAAGGACUGAGCUGAAAUCAGAUUAGAGCUUCUCCAAACAGAUCUUGCUCUGUUUCUUCAAUGAGACCUCCAAACCAAUUUAAACAACCAUUCACAUAGCCUCAUGCAGAAAGGAACUGCUUGCUUUACUCCCAGGAGACCUGCAAGGAUGGAAGGUGUGGAAAUCCAGCCCAUCUUUAUAAAGGGUGUCCACCAAGCAGACAGUCCCACAUCCCUCCUGCCAUGCACGCCCAUGUUGAUUCCUUGUGCUGUCCUGUGCAGCAGAGAGGAAAGGAAACUUGGAAGAAAGCUGUGGAGGCCGGAGCAGAGAGAUGUGGCUGGGAUGAGGACCUGGGGACAGCCCUGACACCACGUCCCUGGGAAAUGGCAUUCCUGCUCCAGGCCAAGAGCCAGAGCUGGGGAUGCACUGUCUCUUACACAAGCUGGCUUUGCAAAGCAGAAAGAAAUAAGAAACAGUCAUGCAUGAGAAAGGCCAGAGAGGUUUAAUUGGAAAAGACAACACGUAAUGUAAGUUACUUAAAGUUUCCAUUUGAACAAGAGCCACAGUGAAGAGAAACCCAGCAGUAAUUGCACAGAGAGGAAACGUUGACCUGCAGCACUUCUGGCCAUCCCCAUGGUUUCUUUCCCCUGCUGGCUUUUCAUGCUGCUUUUCACCCUUCCCUCCAGCACCGUCCUCCGACAGCACUGCAGGGGCUGCUCACAGCCGGGUUGCUGCAAACUUCUAUAAACCAAAUUAUUUUCCAUUUUCAUAGGUGAUAAACAGAAUAAGCAAUGCUUUAUGGAGCAGUGGGGCUGAGCCAGGGAAGUUCUGCUGGUAAUGGGCAGAAAGAGCGAGCAGGUCAGGAGCAGCCCAGCUCCCCAAGCAGCUGGGGAGCACCAAUUUUCACGGCUUCCUGCAGAAAAGUCUCUCCCAGGGACCCCAUGUUCUGUGUGGGUCACACCAUCACUGGGUGCUGCUGAGCCAGGAGUCAGCUGCUCCUCAGGGGGCACAGAUCAGGGCAACAAAUUACAGAAGUAAAUCUCACACCAGAAAGUAAGCAGUAAUGGGGAUUCUAACCCACCAGGAUACAGCAAUAGGCUUCGUUACCCAAAGCACAAGCCAUGCAAUUAAAAACUGACAAAAAUUAGUUGAUGAUUCAGUCACUUCCAAGCUCAAGGUGCCCUUCAACCCCUCAGUCUCCUUACCAGCAACAAACCAAUGCAGAACAGAACUUCUGAUCCUGAGUCUUGUAUUAGGCCAAAUAACAAAAGGGGUUUUAUCAUAGCUCUAAUCUUUUUCCAAUAUACAGACAUAUUGAAAGAGAUUACCUUACUGAAAUUGAAGGAAACUGUGGUAUUUUAAAACCUUAAUCCCCUUUCUCCUCUGUAGGAAAUAAGAUAAAUUUCUUGAUUUCAUUCUGUACAAUUACAAGAAGCUUUUCUUUUAUCAAAAGUUCUCCUUUUUCUCUGGCAAGGUAUUUUUGGAGCUGUGCACCAGGCUUCAGCCCACUGUAUGUGUACUUAUGGGCAAGACAGGCAAGUUUUGACUGAAGGAAGACCUCACCAACACAGUCAUCAGCAUACUUAAGAAGCAUCCCAGCAGGAGCUGGUCUGUACUGUAAGUGACAGCUGGAGGAUCUACAGCUGGCGUCCUAAGGCUCCAGAGCCUGUACUUGCUCGCCAGCACAGCAAAAUGUCUGCUGGUGUCAGUAUGCUUCUAAAAUGAUCUAUGGCAAUUCAGCAUGGAACUGCAAACAAUGAAGCAAUGAAGGAAACAGCAGAACGAAUCCAAAUUAUCCAUUUUGAGGCUAAUGACCUUCUAGUGAAGAUGAUGCACUGUGUCAAAGCUCUGAUCCAUAUUGCUGGACCACUAAAAUUCCCAGGCAGUUCUUGCCAGGCAGAAUUUCUGACCAUAAUGGUCUGAUUAUGGUUUCACCAACAGCAGGCAUGCCUGACCAACUAGUGGCCUUCUGUGAUGGAGUGACAGCAGCAAUGGACAAAGGAAAGGCAACUGAUGUCAUGUACCUGGACUUGUUCAUGGCCUUUGACAUGAUCCUGCAUCACAUCCUUAUCUCCAAAUUGAAGAGAGACGGAUCUGAAGGCUGGAUAUUCAGUGGAUGAAGAAUUGGUUAGAUGAUCAUAGCCAGAAGGUUGUUGUCAAUGACUCUAUGUCCAGGUGGAGGCCGGUCAUGAAUGGUGCCCCCCAGGGUUCCAUUCUGGAACAGAAGGAAGGGAUGCCAUCCAGAGGGACCUGGACAUACUCAAGAAGUGGAAAUGUGAGAAUCUAAUGAGAUUUAAUAAUGUCAAGUGCAAAGUGUUGCACAUGGGUUGAGGUAAUCCUAGAUAUGAGUAAGAGUGGAAAAGGAACUCCUUGAGAGCAGCCCUGCAGACAAUGACUUGGGGUUCCUGAUGGGUAAAAGCUGGAAGGCCAAAAGUACCCUGGGUUGCAUUAACAGAGGGGAGGCAGCAGGGAGACAGAGGGAUUGUCCCCCUGUGCUCUGCCCUUGUGAGUCUCCAUCUGGAGUACAGGGUCCAUACCUGGGGCCCUCAGCAGAAGAAAUGGAGCUGUUGGACUGGGUCCAGAGAAGAGCCACGAAGAUGGUCAGAUGGCUGGAACCCUUUGAAGAAAGAUUGAGAGAGUUGGGCUUCUUUAGCUUGGAGAAGAGAAGGCUCCCCAGAGACCUUGUUGUGAUCUUCCAGUACUUGAAGGGAGCUUAUAAGGAGAGGGGGGACCAAGUUUUUACACAGUCUGAUAGUGAUAAGACAAGGAAAAAUGGCUUUGAACUAGAAGAGGGGAGAUUUAGGUUAGAUGUUUAGAAAGAAAUGUUUGAGUCAGAGAGCGGUGAGGUGCUGGAACCAUCUGCCCACAGAAGCUGCGGAUGCCCCAUCUCUGGAGGCAUUAAAGGCCAGGUGGGAUGGGACCCUGGGCAGCCCGGGGUGGUGGUUGGCAACCCUGCCCAUGGCAGGAGGGUUGGAACAAGAUAAUCUUUGAGAUCUCCUCUAACCUAAGCUAUUCCAUUCCACGGUUCUAUUACUCUAUGAUGAUUUUCUGUAAAUAACUGUAUAGCUUUGGGCAGUAAUACUCUGCCACUGAAAUUCUUUCCCCAGUGAUCCUUGAGUGAUAAGAAAAAAAUCACAGAACAUCUACAGAAAAAUCUGUUCAAUAUCUGUAAAGGGAAAAAACCUUUCAGAAAGAUAUUCAUGGUGUAGUUAGUGCUAAAAUAAAAACUCAGUUUUAAGCCAAGGCCUUGCAUCCUUUGUGUUCAAAAAAUGCCACGAAAGAUUCAUAUCCACUUCGCUUUGAAACUUGGUCAAAACAAGCUAAGAAGACAUGUUUGUAAUUCAUGCUUUUUUAUCCAAAUACUUUUUUCAGGAUUUUGUGCCCUUGCUGGUUCUGUUUGUAAGUGUAUGGGAACUGUUGAGUCAUGGCCUGAACCGCUGAUUGAGCACCUGGGGAAAGGACCCAGUCAGCCCUGGGAGCACAGGUGAAGGCAAUUCAGCUGCAUGACCCGAAGGGCUGCAGCCCAGCUGCACCUCUCUUAGACCUCAUUUAAGGGCUGACUGCCACUGGGGAAGGAUUUCUUUCUGCAGAUCUCUCCUUGGUGAAGCUUUCCCCUGCAAACCUAGAAUCUUCUGAUACAGGUGAGAGAUCUCUCCUUGGUGAAGCUUUCCCCUGCAAACCUAGAAUCUUCUGAUACAGCAGCCACCGCUGUUCCAUGGGGAAAGGUGGUAGUGAAGGCGUUCGCUCCCCGCUGAAGCUCAACACACCUUUUUGACACCAAAGGAUGGCCCUGAGCCGGGGAAGAGGUGGGCGAGUAGUGAGGAGGGGCUGCGCUUCCAGGCUGCGGUCUGCAGGCUGUCCAGGUGCCAGGGCCCAGCGUGCAGCUGCUUGGGCUGUGCGGGAGCAGCCGCAGCACAGGGCUGUCCCAUCCUGACUGCUUUGCUCUGUCUCAGGAAUUCCGUGGUCUGUGUGGCUGCCUUAAUGCCUAAGGAAGGAUAAGAGAUAAGAGGAACAGGAGGAGGCAGGACAGCGGAAUUUUACCUGUAAGCACAGCAGUGAAGACUCUGUACUGGCAGCCUGGCAGGCAGGAGGGCUCCAGGACCUAUAUGACAAUUCAGGGCAGCCUCUUUAAUUUAUUCUUGUUUCAUUGCUUCUGGAAGUAAUGCAACGCAGUCAGCCCAUCCACCCACAUGAACACCGAAGCCUCUGUACCAGUGUCUCCUCUGCUCCUGGCCAGGAAAGGGAGAGGAGGGAGGAAGAGCUCCUGCCAACACCUUACAGACUAGAAGCAGCAGCGCAGUGCUACAAUCCCUGUGCACACCUGCUCUGCGUCAGACCCAGUGGGGCAGGAGCAAGGUGAGCCGUGCUUCCCUACAGCCAAGAAGGAUUUCUUUUUAUUCCAGUGCAGCUGCAAGCCAGGGAGCUGCUACAGUUCUGCAAAAUGAGGAGCCAAGCAUUGCAGCACCUGUUCAGAUUUACCGACUCCAUCACUCACAUUGCCCACAGGGGCCAAUAAGGCUCCGCAGCCAUGCUCCAGCACUGAGUGCUGGCUGCGCAGUGAUUUACUGUGCUCUUCUCCCCGUGCCUUGUGCACCUUCAGAGUGCUGACAUGAGUGUGUUUGAUUGGGUUACUUAUUAAUUCUGUAUUUAUGAGGACAAUGAAAUUCCAGUCCCCAAAGCUGCACGCUGCUUUUCUUCCCCCCUUAUCUUGUUUCUCUUGGCUCUUCUAAAAGGAAAAUCAGGAUUUGCUUUAGUUUGGAGAAAUGACAUUGGCAUCAGCCCUGUCUGAGAAGGCCUCUUUGUGCUGGAAAAUGAGUAAAUAAACCACUCGCGUUAGCUCUCCCAGGAGAGAUCAACCCUGCUCUGUGCUACACAUUGCACCUCUGGAUGGAGAUGGGGAAUACAAAUACCAAAGGGACGUACUUGACCCAGACGUUCCAGAGUUUGUCUGCUCUGAUCAUCGCUCAAUUCUACUUCACCUUCUCUGCUGUGACAAAAUAUCAGAACGUGAUUUAUCCAGGAAUUCAAGCACUGCUGAGCUGUGUUCCAAUCCCCUUGUGCAGUACAAGAGUUUAAUGAUUCCCAAAGGGUAUGAGCUUGUUGCUUUGCGUUAACCAAAUGUCUAUGCACAACAAAAGAUAUGCAAGCAAUAUGUUUAAAAAAGGAAGCAGCAUUUUUCAGGUAAUUAUGGCAUUUUGUUUUCACUCUGGUGGUGCACAGGACUCCUGAACACGUGCUGGAGUUGUCCAGAAAGCCUUAUGUACUGCUGUGAAUUAUUCUGCUUAUUUUUGCAUUAUGUUAGCUGAGAGCUCAUUGUAAAUUCACUUGUUAGUCAGAAAGAUCCCCAAAUCCUUUCCGCACACAAUAUUUCAUACCACAGCCUCUUAGAACUGUGAAUUGCAAAUUCAUUUGUAUAUUUAUGCUCAUAGAUAAAUAGAAAUUCAUAUUUAUAUAUUACACAAUUUGUGCUGCAACCAAAGAAACAAACCUCUGCAUAUGACACGCGAGUUGCAAUCUCAGCCUUUGAAAAUUGAAUAGGGUAUGAAUUUCAGAUAGCAUCCACACCUGCAAAUUUCGAUUUGCUAUUUGCAUGUGUCCUGCCUAGAUUGCAAUUGAUAGUACACAUCAGAAGUGAAAUAGGUGGAUCCGAAGGGCCAAAAGUACAUGUUCUGGCAGUUCCUCUGCUUACAGAAAGCAAGUUUUAAAAACAGGAAAGCGAAAAUCUUCUUCACAGCUGAAUGAAUAUUUAAUACUACCACUCCUGCCUAUGGUACAGGCAGAUCCAGCUCUAAUUAAUCUUAUCUCCUGCCUCUUCAUGACAUCUUCCAACCAUACUUUGCACUACAUCUUACCCUGCUCAAAUAAUGGGUAUCUCCAUCACUUCAUGUAGAGUUCAAGAGCAAAAUUGGUGAUGGGAAAUCCUUUCCUCAUCUCUUGCUUCAGGGUUUAGGGAGAAAAGAGGGUGGCUGCUGGGGUUUCCCUCCCAUUGUGGCAAGGCAGUUGAGCUGCAGGCAGCCUGCCCAUCCCACUGGACAUGCAAUGGGCUCCAGGUGUGCUGUGCAAAGCCUCUCCCUGUCUGCUUGUCCAGAACACCACAGUCUUCACAGAUCAAUUGAAAAAUAAAGAAAGGAUGAGGGCUCCUCCCAACUGGCCUGUCUGUGUGUGCUGAGGGGGUCUGCCUCUUCUCACCACUGCUGUUUAUUGUGCUCUGCUCCUCCUCUUUUUCUUUUUUCCCCCAUUCUUAAUACAACCAUGAGAAAUCCCAAUAUGAGAACAUUAGAAUAUUCUGGCUCUGAAGUUAUAAAAAAAAAAAUGAAGAAAUGGUUUCCUCUCUGGAAGGCGCUCACAGGUCAGACAUCCAAGAGAGAAAGCCUGAAAUUUACCUUUAAUGAAGACAAGUGUAGUGUUGGCAAUUGGAGAAGCACCAGUGAGUUGGUCGUAGGCAAAGGAAGAAUAGUUUGGACAGACAGAGCUGAAGAAUAGUCCAAAUAUUAUCAAGAUUGGAUGUGGGGAGGGGAUAGAAAUCCAAGUCCUGUUCCACCACUCCUGAAUCCUAUUGAGGCUGAGAGAUUCAGUCAGCUUAACUCAGAACUGCAGACCUUUAGAGUGGAAGCCCACCCUGCAUUCAGCACAAGGACUCUCCAUGCUCUUCCUGCCGGGGUACAAGACACAGCUGCAGCAUCCCUCUUGCACAACUUCCCCCAAUGUGCAGAAGCUCUUAGUCAGGAGAAAACAACUCUGAGUUUGGAAGAGUGUUAACCAAGCCCAGUCCCCAAGCUUCUUCACAGCUGGGUUAGUAUGAGGCUAGCCCAUAGGUUUAAGGUAUUGUAGUUACUGGGCACAGGAUUUCCAAGCUACAGAGCAAAUGUGAGUUACAUCUUGAGAGGACCUGCCUUCCAUCUGAGCUGAGUCCAAACUGUUCUGCAUUUAAUAGAGAAGCACCAAAGAAUUCAAAAUUCCACAAGUGAGAUUAAGCCCAGAAACUACAAUUAGUCACCUUUCCUUUAAUCCCUACGCCUCCAUCACCAGCAGUGCAAUAUCCACACAGAAGAGGAAGUCAUGCUUUUCUCAUCUGCUACAAAGCCAAGAAAAAUAGAAAGUAAUUGUGUCUGAAGUGCCGGAGUGCAGAAGUGUUGCUCAGCAGCCCUGGGUGCCUUUCCCUGCAAGAGGAGUGACACAGAAAGGCAGGAGGGAAUAUAGCUUGUGCAUGCAGUGAGCUGAAGAGAGAGGACCCACUCUUAUCUGUACAAUAACUCAUACAAGCUAGAAACGAAGAAGAUGCCGUAUACAGAGUUAGUUCUCAUGGAGCAUUUUAUAGUGUUUAUCACAUCUACAUUGACAGGAUUGCAGCAAGGCAGGGCAGCUGGUCACGCAGUCCUCAGACUCAUUAUUUAUUUCCACGGAGGACUUGUUUGCAGGAGCCACAUGUUACAAACGUGAGGGGGGAUCUGGAAAUGGGAGUACUUUCACAAUAAGUAUCUUGCUGCAGCACUUAAUAGCCCAAACAGACACCACUCGCUCUUUCUCUGUGCUUAGGCCAGUGGGCUGACCAGGUAAACACUAAAAUCAUGGAACCUCAGAAUUUUCUGAAUUGGAAGAACACGCAAAGAUCAUCAAAUCCAACUCCUGGCUGCACGUAGGACCACCUAAAACUCAAACCAUAUUUCUGAGCAUCUUCUAAAUACUCCUUGAACUCUGGAAGGAUUGAGGUCAUGGCCACUGCCCUGGGGAGGCUGUCACAGCAUGGAGCCCUCCACCACCGGUGGCCCUUUUCUCUUCCCUGCAUGCAGCCACAUUCCCAGUGCUUGUUUCUGCAGCUCCCAGCCUCCUCCUGCAGCUGAGCAGCAUCCGCCUCAUCUGACACAAGCUCAGCAUUGUGUUGUGUCCUGCAUCCAUCACAGGCAGAGGACUCUGGGACCUUAGCCCUUGAACAACUUUUACUCAGCAGAAGAUAUAUAGUUUUUAAUGUCCUUCAUAAUGUGAAAAGCAUGAGAGGCCUGUCUCAGGGUUGUGGAAAGCCCUGCCCUGUCUCCCAUCCAUUACACAGCCCAGGACUCUUUCCAAAACUUACAGAAGGGAGCUGGGUGCAAACCAGACACAAACCAACAGAUCAGGCACAGCUGGAAGUAUGAUUUUUUUCUCCAGACGGGUUCAGCUCUGAACACAAACAGUUACCAAGCCCUUAGCUGCAAGUAUGGAGCCAUGAAUCCAUGUACCACCAGAACCACAUAGCUCUCAGGCAGUUACACAGAAACACCUGCAGAUUUUCUUUCAGAGAAUAGAGCUCAUUCUGAUAUUUUGGAGAUAACUGCUCUUCCCUGCCUUCCUCAGUGCUCUGCCUCCACUGCUCCGUGUGGAGAAGGCAGCAAAGGAUGUGGCCCAGCACAGAGCCCGCUGCCAUCCCAACCACACGCAGUCCUCUUGCAAAAAGCACUGUGGAUGUACAGCAUGUGUGGAUGUAAAGGAUGGAUGUGUGAGGUGUGGGGGCUUCACACUCCCUAGGAUUCCACAGUGACAUCCUUUGCCUUUCAUCACUUCAGGAGCAGCAGCACCAGCCGGUGGGUCUACAAAGGCAGAAUCUGAGGAGAAGUGGCAAUGAGAGCACCUCGGUCCCUCUGCUAGAGCAAAGGGAGGGCAGCCUCCUGCAGGGUGCUCCCUUCUUCUCAGAAAAAGCAAUAGGACUUCCAGCAUGCAUGCACAACUACUGCCUCCUCCCAGCUGUUUCCUGAACACGCCUCUGAAGAAACUGUGCACUCCAGUAGAUAUCUGGGCACAUACAAACACUGGUCAUUGGAGCACCCUAAGGACUUCUGUGCACUUCUCCUGCUCCCUCCUUUUUGAACAGUUAACCCAUAAGCUAUUUCAAAUGCAAUGCAAAAAUAAUCCCUUAAGAAAACUCAUGAGAAGUUCUCUUCCCAGUGACUC
Long non-coding RNA from Lagopus muta (rock ptarmigan), 9339 nucleotides. RefSeq lists it as uncharacterized. The transcript has 3 exons. The record is from RefSeq and is a predicted model, not a curated record. NCBI's taxonomy places the organism in Eukaryota, Metazoa, Chordata, Aves, Galliformes, Phasianidae.